UACGAGUGCCUCAAGCGUUAUCCGGAAUCAUUGGGCGUAAAGGUUGUGUAGGUGGUUAUAUUAGUCUUCUGUUAAAGCUCCCGGCUUAACCGGGAAAGUGCAGAGGAAACGGCAGGACUAGAGGAUGUGAGAGGUUUGCGGAACUCAUGGUGUAGGGGUGAAAUCCGUUGAUAUCAUGGGGAACACCAAAAGCGAAGGCAGCAAACUGGCGCAUUCCUGACACUGAAACACGAAAGCGUGGGUAGCGAAUGGG
RNAcentral lists this ribosomal RNA (253 nucleotides) under uncultured bacterium. Its description in RNAcentral is "partial 16S ribosomal RNA". It matches the Rfam family "Bacterial small subunit ribosomal RNA", at positions 524 to 776 of the family's 1533-position model. The record is from RNAcentral.